RNAcentral lists this ribosomal RNA (312 nucleotides) under uncultured Polyblastia. RNAcentral's name for it is "partial large subunit ribosomal RNA". It matches the Rfam family "Eukaryotic large subunit ribosomal RNA", at positions 40 to 350 of the family's 3401-position model. The record is from RNAcentral. Lineage: Eukaryota; Fungi; Ascomycota; Eurotiomycetes; Verrucariales; Verrucariaceae.
GUAUCAAUAAGCGGAGGAAAAGAAACCAACAGGGAUUGCCUCAGUAACGGCGAGUGAAGCGGCAACAGCUCAAAUUUGAAAUCUGGCCUUUCGGGGUCCGAGUUGUAAUUUGUAGAGGAUGCUUCGGGCAAGGCUGCGGUCUAAUUCGCUUGGAACAGCGGGUCAGAGAGGGUGAGAAUCCCGUCCAGGACCGCGCGCCGCGUCCGGGUGAAGCUCCUUCGACGAGUCGAGUUGUUUGGGAAUGCAGCUCUAAACGGGAGGUAGAUUUCUUCUAAAGCUAAAUACCGGCGAGAGACCGAUAGCGCACAAGUA